AUCCCAGUGACUUGCCUCCAGGGUUUUGUUCUCCGUAAAUGCCUGAAUCCGUUCGAAACCGCCACUCCAAGUUCCCGUCACUUGUUCGCGCCAUGUAGGAGGAUAGACCUCCGAAGACCUCGAGGGAGAUGGAGAGAAAGGGGAAGGGAGGCGGCGGCGGCACCGACGAGGUGUUUCGAGUGCGGGACACCGGGACAAUGGUCUCGCGACUGCCCUUCCUCCUCGGGUAACGCUAACCCUAGCUCUCCUCGUCUGGAGAAGCCAUCGGCCGCUGCUACGACCUCCACCAAAAGGGCCAUGAAAUAAAGCUCCUGGACCAUGCCGAUACUUGCAGCAGGAAUCACAUCAUACCACAAAAAUCCUGGCUGUCUGAAAUAAACCAUCUGCCUGGAUGAACAGAGGAGUCAGCUCAGAAGAGGGAAGAGCACAAACAGAAGUUAACCGCUUGAAAGCAUUAGAAAGGGAUCAUUCCAGUUUAUCUGAAGCUUUCUUCUCUUCAGAUCCACCCUGAUCAUUGCAGCCCGGCAUGCAUGUACUUUACAUUGUUAUAUGGUCCAGACUUCAGGAUGUUUCUGUCAGUUAACGUUCAUGGAAAGUAGAUGCUCAUUCAUUGUUGUUCCAUCUCUCAUCUAUAUGUACAAACCUCUUUUUCUUUCCAGCAUGCAACAUCCUUUGAGGAUUAAUUUUGCUUA
Molecule: long non-coding RNA, 692 nt
Organism: Musa acuminata AAA Group (dessert banana)
Lineage: Eukaryota; Viridiplantae; Streptophyta; Magnoliopsida; Zingiberales; Musaceae
Exons: 2
Source: RefSeq, a predicted model, not a curated record